Non-coding RNA from Phoenix dactylifera (date palm), 5783 nucleotides. NCBI's taxonomy places the organism in Eukaryota, Viridiplantae, Streptophyta, Magnoliopsida, Arecales, Arecaceae. The record is from RefSeq and is a predicted model, not a curated record.
AGCAUACUUUAAUGAUUGUGUCAGGGGAAUCAUGCAUACAUGCUCAAUAAUUUCUUGAGAAAGCAAACAAAGAGUAACAGUACAAAUUCUUUGGACACUUCAAAUAGAAACUAGAAAAAGAUAGUCUAAUCAUUAUAGUUCUGAAAUCAGGUAUUAUGUGUUGGAUGGUUACAAUUGAUAGACAAUUAGAUAUUAUAAUAUCAAUUAAAUAUUGCAAUUAUGAUGUAGAGGUGUGAUUAGAAAUUUAACAGUACAAAAUUGUUCUCACAAUUCUCAUUUAAGUUCCAAUAAUCCUAUAGUACAUAUUAGAUGCUGCAGCGAGGGACCAUUCAAUUUGAUGAUUCUGAUUGAAGGUUCCUAUUUUAUAAAGGGGGGGUGCAGCUUUUAGUUUUGCGUACAUAUCAGAAGACUAUGGAGGGGCCAUUUGAUUUGAUGGUUACAAAAAUAUACAAGUGUAUUUCUACUCACAUUUACAUGUUUAUGUGUGUGUAUUAUGUAUGUACAUAUGCAUGUAGGUUGCAGUAAUAAUACACAAGGUGUAAAGAAAGGUCUUGCAUCAUGUACCAAAAAAGAAAGGUCUUGCAUCUACUGCAAAGUUCGAAAGUGGCGGCUAGAAAAUGGAAAUCUAAAUCAUUGGAUAUGAUAUAGAAGAAGUCUUAAAAAGCCUAUGUACAAAAAGGAAAAAAAAAAUCCUAUGUUUUGAAUUCUCCUAUCUUGUGCAUCGAGGCGUACCAAAAUCAGCACACUUAUUGUGGCAUUAGAACUGUAUAUUUGGAAGGACUUGAUCCAUAGGCAAGAGGUUUCUGGAACAUACGAUUUUUCAUGCAUAGGCAUUUGGACCUUGUAGAUCACAUCUUUCAUUUUCAUUUUGCAAUUAGAAAUUUGAGUUUUGCAGUGAGUAUGAAUUUCUCUUUGCACCUCAUAUAAGUGCAUCAAUGUAUGUGUGUAUUGCUUAAAUUGCACCAAAUUUCAAACUUGGUAAAUUUUGCUUUUACAAGAAAAUGACUGUUUUAGUCCCCGUGUAUGGCAUUAGGUAUGAAAUGCUAUUUAUGGAAGUAAGCUUUAAAGGGUAAGGGUUUAAAAGGGGCAUAUGUAUUGCAUAAAUUUAAAAUAGAAAUGGAGAUGAUGCACUGGUUUAAAAUGGUAGACAAGGGUUUUGACUGUGUGAUCAGUUUCAUUACCAGAGAUUUGUGAUACAAAAUUAUGGAGAGACCAGGACAUAAGUCAAAGUGGAGAGGUACUUAUAGGGUAUUAUGUGAUCAAUGAUAUCUUGGCAAAGCAAAAGGGGAAACUUUGUAGAAUGACAUCAAGGCAUAAAUGUUGUAUGGUUAGAAAUUUUGAGUAAUAAAAAAGGUCCAAGAAAGUAAGUUGAAUGUAGCUAAAACUAGAAUUCCUAGAUGGAUGUCAAGGAAAACUAGGAAGGUUGUAGUGAGCGAUGAGUAUGCUAGAUCUUGGAGGAAUUGUAAGAUUUUCCCAAGUUAAAGACAAAAUGAUGGAGAAUCAGUUGACAUGGUAUAGGCAUGUAGAAAGUUAUAGGGGGCUCCAGUAAGGAAAGAUGAUUUAAUUUAUGUUGAGUGACGUAGGAAAGGUAGGAGGAAGACCUCAGAUACGGUAGAUGGGGAUUCUGUGUAAAUAUAUUGAAAGGCUUGAAAUAUCGUCUAAGGCAACCCUUGCCUAUCUCAGAGAAAAGGGACAAGGUGGGACGGUUGUGAUUAUGAUAUUGCACUAGAUAGCUUUAUUUACAUGGGGAACUUUUUGUCAUUUGACCCAAGCCAUUAGUGCACAAAGGGUGAAGAAUCAUUGAUUUGAUUUGUGGACUAGAAGCAUCCAAAUCAAAUCAUUUUUGGUCUAUGUACAUUAAAAUUUCUAGAGCAGGAUCAACAGUUUAGAUUUUUCAAAUUAUAUAACUGUAGUAUAGUCUUUCUUGCUAGUUGUGUUGCUAUUGUUAAUUUUAUGCCCACUUGAAGCAUAUAUAGGAGACUUCUAAAACAAAUGACUUCUAACCUUUGGGCAUUUUAGACAUCAUAGAUCAAUGGUUUUCAUGUUAUUGAUUUUCAUUUGGAAGCAUUUGGGGCCGAAUACAUGUAUGCAGUUGGGCCUUGACUAUAUAUCUGUCAUUUCGAGAGGCCUUCGUCUUUUGUCAUCUUCAAGAUUUGUUAGGAAGGAUAUUUACUAACGCAAAAAAUAACAUGCAACACUAACUAGCAAAAAGAAAAAAAAAAGAAAACAAAUCAUGCAAUAACUGAAGUGCUCCUUAAAUGAAAAUAAGGAAAAGACAUUUUAUCUGCAAUGAAACCUGUUGCUGGAAAUUGGACCCGGGGGCGGCCGUUGGCUGAGGAGGAGCUCCGGCGUAAGAUGGCGGGUGGCGGUCCGUCGGCGGGCGGCGUCCUCCAGGGGACCUGCAAAAAGCCGGUGGCCAGGGUUUCCGGCGCCGGCCCUCCGAUGCCUAAGUCAGAGGGGGCAAAUGUAUGAGGGAAGAGAAAAUGUCUCCAGAAUUUCAGAGUCCAACCCCCUCUAAGAUGGAGGGGUUUCCCUUUUAUAGAGGGGUACAGGAUUACCUGUGAUAUGACGGGGCGAACGGGUUACCGUCAUGAUUGAACACGAUCGUGUGAAUUAAUACAUUGUCGUGGGAGAUCAGGCCGGAGUCAGUAAGUCGUCGUGGUUGAUUGGACGUGGCGGAGUAGCUCAACUGUCUGCCGUGGAGAGCUUAAGAUCCGUAGAUGGCACGCGCAUUGAUUGUUGAGUGAGCCGGAGAUCAGUGGAGGCCAUGCGCAUUAAUUGUUGACAGCAGUGGCAGGGCAUGGUCCUUGGUCGAGCUGCAGAAAGAUGUGACCGCUGCAGGUGGAUAGCGAGGUCGGACCUCCGAAGUCGAAUGCCGAGGUCAGGUGCUCGGAUCGGGCGUCUCGGAGUCGAGCGCCUGGCCGGACGUCCGACCCGGCUGCGUGUCUUAAAGUCGGACGCCUCCAGGUCGGGCGCCUUCAGGUCGGGCGCCUUCAGGCACGUGAUGGUCAUGCACCCAUGUGUUUCGGGACGACUUGUUUUUUCCUCCAACACUAUCCUCCGACUUUCGAGUUCGAGCUGUUUGCGAGCUCGAACGUGGGAAGUACAACUUUACCAUAUUGGUGUGGGCCAGGAAGCCUUAACUUAUUCCGGCGUUCCGCGUGUUUCAAAGCACUCUUAAUGAGAAAGGACGGGGCGACACCCUUUUGCCUUUCGAGGUGGUCUCGCGUUGUGGGCUUAUGAUGGGACGCCGCCUUGAUUCGGUAUUCAAAGUGUCGAUCUGAAUCGGAUAUGCCGCUUCGGUCUUCGGGGCCGACACGUGGUACGAUCUGGACGGAAGGCGGGAUCCUGCCUCUCCGAUCCGGGCCGUUGGAGAGGUCUAUAUAAAUCCUUAUCCUGGCCCCAAGGGCUCCUAUUUGGCCGCGGCUAUCGUUGCUCCUCUCCUUGUUCUCCUGUUCUCUAGUUUCCUCCGAUGGCACUCCGAGGCGUUUCCAGGCGAUCGUCUCGGUUUCUCUUCAAAUCGUCGACAUUUUCGGCGGAAAUUUUAGUAGGUGCCCCUCGUCCGCUCGGAGGGUUUUUGCUCUUUUUUCUCUUUUCUUCUUCUAUCAUUUCCUUUCUAGGAUGGGUCGUGGUCCGGACGAGGUCGGGUCCACUUUGAGUAGUGAGGAGUUAGAAAUGGCCGAUGAGUAGUUUUUUCCUCAGUGCGAGUUUCGUCUUGAACCCGCGGGGUCGAAGGAUCGGAUGACGAGGUCUCCCCCAGGUCGGAUCGGAGUGUACAUAGAGGCACUCUGGGCCGGCUUGCGGUUUCCGCUACACGGGUUCGUGAACGAUCUCCUGGCGACUUAUCAGCUUGUCCCAGCGCAGCUUGCUCCGAACGCAUGGAGGACAAUUGUCGGUUUUUUGUCCCUUUGCUUUGCGCACGGGAUACCGACUUCGGUCAGUGUCUUCCGGCGGUGCUUCUUGCUGAAGUCCAAUCCGGGGGACGGAGAGUGGCUUUACCUUGCUCUUCGGAGCGGUCGGUCACUCUUUCGAAGUGCUCGUACAUCCAUUCAUGGGUGGAAGAAGUUUUUCUUUUUAUCCUCCGAGCGUGCGUGGGGGUUUGAUACCAGGUGGGGGCAGGCCCGGCUCAAGAUCGCCAAUAAGCUCCCCAGACUUUCCGAGAGCGAGCAGGGGAUCCUCGACGCUCUUUACGGCCUCGAGGAAGAUAUUCUUCUGAAUGACCUCGUGAGCGAGGUCGUUUUGGUCAAUGUCGGCUUGAGCUCGGCGCGCCCCCAGGGUAAGGGUGGUUGUCAUUUUUUGUCUCGUUCGUUUUACUUUUUCUUUUCUUCUCUCGUCUCCUUUUUCCUGACAUCUUUUUCUUUUGUCUUUUCAGAUAUUCCGAAGAUGGUGACCAGCAACGCGGCUCUCUACGCCCGAUUCAAAAAGAGGGCAACCGAGGCCGAGGCAGGUGGGGCCCUACCCGAGCCGAGGAAAAAAGCCAAAUUAAGUGCCCCCGGGGCUGGGGCCUCCAGACCUGCUCGGAAGGAGGUUCCGAGCACCGAUCGCGGGGGCUCGAGCUUUGCGGGGACUUCUGCGGCCCUCGCUUGCCCAGCUCCCGUCUCUCAGCGUCCCAGUCGGCAGCUCGUCCGGUUGUGGCGCUCGGUCCCGAGCCGGGGAGCGGCCUAGGGGUCCCGAGCUCGUCUUCGUGAGCCCAGCGAGGCCCAGUCUUCCGGGUCCUUCGGGGGGUGAGACCCGGCAAGAGAGGAGGCCCCACUGCCCUGAGUGGGCGGUCUUCGAGGGUGACUCGGCCCUCCAUGAUGCCCAAAUAGCGUGUCAAGUCUUCCGGGUCGCUCUGCUCCCGGCCGAUCGGGCCGAGUUCCAGUUCGCGGACUUCAAUAGUCUUGUGGACGGGACCCAUUGCUCCACCAUUCGGCAUCUUCACGAGGUCGACAUGCUGAUCUCCAUGGCAGCAGACUACCGGGACAUGGCCCGAAGAUGUCUGCGGGGGCAGGAGGAGGCCGAGAGGAGGCUGGGCGAGGUCGAGGUCUUGCGGAGGGAGCUCCUCGCGAGGGUGGAGGCCGCCGAAGACGAGAGGGGCGUGCAUGCUCUGGCCAGGUCGGAGGUGCGCGUCGUCAAGGCUUGUUUGGCCGAAGCUCGCUCCGCGAUUGCUGUCUCCCAGCAUGAGGCGAGGGGCACCCAGCUAAAGGUUGAGCAGCUCGAGGCUCGAGAGAAGAGGGCCUUGGAGCAAGCUCAACAUGCGGUGCAACUCUUCCGGGAGUCGGAAGAGUUCCGCGAGUUGCUGGAGGAAGAGGCCGUGGAUGGACUUAUCCGCGGCUUCGAAGACUUUCGGAGGCAACUGAAGCGGCUCUGCCCUGAGUUCGAUCUCAGUAUGCUCCAGCCCGGAGGGGGGAUCGACGAGGACGAGGGCGGGCCCGAAGGCCCGGCUGGGGCUGAGGUCAAAGCAGCCGAGGAGGCUGCUCGGGAGGCUUCCGCCGAGGGAGCUCCUGAAGGAGUGCCUGAUGCCGUCCCUGAAGCCGCUGGCGACGUUCCCACCGAGACCUCUAUGACUGCGGCCGGGCCGGUGGAAGAACCCGGGGAGGCUCCAGCUGAGAAUCCCGAGGUGGUCGUCGUGGACGACCUUGAGGUCGGUGCCGAAGCUGCGACUACUCCUUAGGACUUAGUCUUUUUUCUUCUUUUGGUUCUUCUUUUUGUAAGUGAGGUCAGCCAUUGGAAUUAUUGUAUGGUCGAACCUCGAUUUUGUACUUGGCCUUCAGGCCUAUCAAUGAAGAACUUCUCUUUUUCCA